UUCCGGUUGAUCCUGCCGGAAGCGACCGCUUUUGGAGUUCGACUAAGCCAUGCGAGUCGAGAGCUUUCGGAGCUCGGCAUACUGCUCAGUAACACGUGGAUAACCUGCCCUAUUGUCUGGAAUAACCUCGGGAAACUGAGAACAAAGCUGGAUAACCCACAAUGCCUGGAACGGUUUGUGGGUGAAGAUAGGGUGGGUCUGCGGCGUAUCAGGUCGUAGGGGGUGUAAUGGACCUCCUAGCCAUCGACGCGUACGGGUGUUGGGAGACAUAGCCCGGAGAUGGAUUCUGAGACACGAAUCCAGACCCUACGGGGUGCAGCAGGCGCGAAAACUUCACACUGCAGGAAACUGUGAUGAGGGAACUCCAAGUGCUAUCACUAUGUGGUAGCUUUUCUUAACUAUUAAUCGGUUUUGGAAUAAGGGCUGGGAAGGACCGGUGCCAGCCGCCGCGGUAAUACCGGCAGCUCAAGUGGUCGUCGCUUUUAUUGGGCCUAAAACGUCCGUAGCCUGUUUGGUGAAUCUGUGGGUAAAUCAACCAGCUUAACUGGUUGAAUUCUGCAGAGACUGCCAGACUAGGGACCGGGAGAGGUGUGGGGUACUCUAGGGGUAGGGGUAAAAUCCUGUCAUCCUUAGAGGACCACCAGUUGCGAAGGCGCCACACUGGAACGGAUCCGACGGUCAGGGACGAAGCCUAGGGGCACGAACCGGAUUAGAUACCCGGGUAGUCCUAGGUGUAAACGCUGUGAACUUGGUGUCGGGGAUCCGUAAUGGGUUCUCGGUGCCGGAGUGAAGAUGUUAAGUUCACUGCCUGGGGAGUACGGUCGCAAGGCUGAAACUUAAAGGAAUUGGCGGGGCAGCAC
RNAcentral lists this ribosomal RNA (860 nucleotides) under uncultured euryarchaeote. RNAcentral's name for it is "bacterial SSU rRNA". It matches the Rfam family "Archaeal small subunit ribosomal RNA", at positions 1 to 879 of the family's 1478-position model. The record is from RNAcentral. Lineage: Archaea; Methanobacteriati; Methanobacteriota.